This 93-nucleotide small nucleolar RNA is filed under the name Ananas comosus (pineapple). RNAcentral describes it as "Small nucleolar RNA snoR26". It matches the Rfam family "Small nucleolar RNA snoR26". Lineage: Eukaryota; Viridiplantae; Streptophyta; Magnoliopsida; Poales; Bromeliaceae. The record is from Rfam by way of RNAcentral.
AGAACAUCCCUGAUGAUUUGCAUCCUUAUGUUAUCCUUGCACUAUGAUUGCUAGUGAAGAAACUUAUGGGGAAAUAAUUGGACUGAGAUGUUC